Molecule: non-coding RNA, 127 nt
Organism: Triticum urartu
Lineage: Eukaryota; Viridiplantae; Streptophyta; Magnoliopsida; Poales; Poaceae
Source: Rfam
UUUCUACUCCUUUCGUCCAAAAUUACUCGUCACAGAAAUGUAUGUAAUCUAGACGUAUUUUUAGUUCUAUAUACAUUCAUUUUUAUCCAUUUCCAUGACAAGUAAUUUUGAAUGGAGGGAGUAUUAA